RNAcentral lists this long non-coding RNA (232 nucleotides) under Trifolium pratense (red clover). Its description in RNAcentral is "long non-coding RNA (TPRA_LNC006801)". Lineage: Eukaryota; Viridiplantae; Streptophyta; Magnoliopsida; Fabales; Fabaceae. The record is from RNAcentral.
UCAUAACAUUCACUCUGUGACCCAAAUUUGAACAAUGGUUAAAGUUUCAGAAUUCAGACGAAACUCCCUAAAGUUUGAGUACCUCCUUCAUAGGUUUUGGGUUAGUAAUGAGGCAUGGAGAUGUGUUUUAAGAUAGGGUCCUGAUGCUGUAGAAUUACAGAAUUUUUGGCAUCGGGUUUGGCAUGCUUGAGCCGCUCAAACGGAUGCAUAAAGGUGUAAAGAAUAGCUUGGA